CUUCGGGUGAGUGAGAACCCCCCACCGGGACCCCCAGCCCGGGCACGGGGGGAAGGCCCUUGGCAUGGGGUCCCCAUUGGGUUCUUGGGGGUCCCUGUUGGGUUCCUGGGAUCCUCAUUGGGUUUUCGGGGCCCCCGUUGGAUUCUCGGGGCCCCCGUUGGGUUCUCAGGGCCCCCGUUGGGUUAUUUUGGUCACCAUUGGGUUCUUGGGAUCCCCAUUGGGUUCUUGGGGUCCCCAUUGGGUUCCUGGGAUCCUCAUUGGGUUCUUGGGGGUCCCUGUUGGGUUCCUGGGAUCCCCAUUGGAUUCUCGGGGGCCCCGUUGGAUUCUCAGGGCCCCCGUUGGGUUAUUUUGGUCACCAUUGGGUUCUUGGGAUCCCCAUUGGGUUCUUGGGGUCCCCAUUGGGUUCCUCAGAUCCCCAUUGGGUUCUUGGGGGUCCCCACUGGAUUGUUGGGGUCCCCGUUGGGUUCCUGGAAUCCUCAUUGGGUUUUUGGGGACCCCCGUUGGAUUCUCAGGGCCCCCGUUGGGUUCUUGGGAUCCCCAUUGAGUUCUUGGGGUCCCCGUUGGGUUCCUGGGGCCCCCGUUGGGUUCCUGGGGUCUCCGCUGGGUUCCUGGGAUCCCCAUUGGGUUCUUGGGGGUCCCCAUUGGAUUCUUGGGGCCCCCGUUGGGUUCUUGGGAUCCCCAUUGGGUUCUUGGGGCCCCCGUUGGGUUCUUGGGGGUCACCAUUGGAUUCUUGGGGGCCCCACUGGGUUAUUUUGGUCACCGUUGGGUUCUUGGGGCUCCUCUUGGAUUUUUGGGGGUUCCAUUGGGUUCCUGGGAUCCCCAUUGGAUUCUUGGGGCUCCCGUUGGGUUCUUGGGAUCCCCGUUGGGUUCUUGGGAUCCCCAUUGGAUUCUUGGGGCCCCCGUUGGGUUCUUGGGGUCCCCGUUGGGUUCUUGGUGCCCCCAUUGGGUUAUUUUGGUCACCAUUGGGUUCUUGGGGCCCCUCUUGGAUUCUUGGGGGUUCCAUUGGGUUCUUGGGGAUCACCAUUGGAUUCUCGGGGCCCCCGUUGGGUUCUUGGGGCCCCUGUUGUGUUCUUGGGGGUCACCAUUGGAUUCUUGGGGGUCC
RNAcentral lists this long non-coding RNA (1102 nucleotides) under Numida meleagris (helmeted guineafowl). Its description in RNAcentral is "lncRNA (ENSNMEG00000000686.1)". Lineage: Eukaryota; Metazoa; Chordata; Aves; Galliformes; Numididae. The record is from RNAcentral.